This 740-nucleotide ribosomal RNA is filed under the name Fuscopannaria confusa. Its description in RNAcentral is "SSU rRNA". It matches the Rfam family "Bacterial small subunit ribosomal RNA", at positions 368 to 1145 of the family's 1533-position model. The record is from RNAcentral. Lineage: Eukaryota; Fungi; Ascomycota; Lecanoromycetes; Peltigerales; Pannariaceae.
UCAAUAGCCUAACGGCUGAACCAGCAACUUGGAAGAAGGUAUAGCAAUAGCUAAUUGUAUUAGCAAAUAGUUUUUACAAUAUCGAUUUAAUCGACUAAAAUUCUAGGUAGAUUUAUGAUGAUGACAUUAUCUAUCUAUGUGUCUUGACCAAAUUUCGUGCCAGCAGUCGCGGUAAGACGUAAGAGACUAGUGUUAUUCAUCUUUAAUAGGUUUAAAGCGUACCUAGACGGUAAUUAAAGCCUAUAUCAGGAACUUGUUUACUAGAGUUAAAUGUAAGGGUGUAUUAAAGUACUGUUGAGUGUAGAGAUGAAAUUCGUUGAUACCAAAUAAUUGGCACAGGUAUAGGCGAAAGCAUCACUUUAUGUAAUAACUGACGUUGACGGACGAAGGCUUUGUGUCGCGAACAGGAUUAGAUACCCCAGUAGUYUUAGCAGAAAACUAUGAGUGUCAUAGGUUAGAUUUUAUUUGGUCUAUAAAUGAAAGUGUAAGCACUCCACCUCAAGAGUAAUUUGGCAACAUUGGAACUGAAAUCAUUAGACCGUUUYUGAAACCAGUAGUGAAGUAUGUUGUUUAAUUUGAUAAUCCGCAAAGAACCUUACCACAAUUUGAAUAUAAAUGAUUUAUUUUUACAAGCGUUGCACGGCUGUCUUCAGUUAAUGUCGUGAGAUAUUGGUUUAUUCCAUUAAAUUAACGUAAACCCGUACKUUAUUUUUAUAUAAAGUUGUUCAUUCGCUAUAAUG